Molecule: unclassified non-coding RNA, 4683 nt
Filed under: Drosophila yakuba
Lineage: Eukaryota; Metazoa; Arthropoda; Insecta; Diptera; Drosophilidae
Description: GE14894
Source: RNAcentral
UUUCUUUGCGGUCCUACUUUUUAUGCGCAAAAAGUGAAGAAUAAUUCGCUCCGUUCAGACGAAUUUAACAGAAUUUACACAUGAAUCUCAUUCGCCAAUAAAUCAAAAACCGCAUUUAACCGUGCAGAAACUGAAUGUCCGUGGAAAACGCAACGUAGCAGUGAUAGUGCUCCAUUAAACCAGCUGAAAAAUCGAAUGAAAAACGACUUCCGCAGACGUCGAAAAGUGCCACAUAAAAGAAAUAGGUGAAAUAAACAAAUAAACGACGGUGGUGACUCGAUAAACAAAACCGAGAAGUGAACCCCAUCCAACCAACGAACAGCUGGGGAAGGGGAAGGAGGAGCGGCACACCUCGCCGUGUUGUCAUGCAUUUUGUCACACAGCAACGGGCACAACAGCAGCACCACAAGUCCUCCACCUCCUCGUCCAGCUCCUCGCUGGCCUCCAGUUCCUCGUGCUCCGGACAAGGAUCGGUAUCGGCAUCGGGAUCGGGACCGGGAUCGGUACUUGGACUAGGAUCCACCUCGCGCUUCGCCUCCCUGCGCAAGUCCUCCAGCCAGGGUGCCCUGCCCAAGUCCUUGGCCACCGCCCACAGCUUCUUCCAUCGCCCCUCGUCCUCGCAGGGCAAGCACAAGCGCACCGCCAGCCUAAAUGCGACGCCCAUGAUUAAAGAUAGUGAUAAAACCAACCCAACAACAUCAAGUGUAACCAUAAUCGCUACGACUGCCGAAAGUUCGAGCAGUAGUAAAACCCCUGCCAAUGCCAACAUGAUACCCGAGACCACCCAGCCCGAUCAGCUCCAGUCACAGACACAGACACACACCCAGCUCCAGCCACAAAUCCAGUCUCAAUCGCCGUCACAGUGCCAGCUGGCACUCAGGGAUCAGGAGAAUCCCGAGAAUCUCCAGCAGCAAUCGCAGCCGGAGGAGGAGAAGCAGGCGGAGGCGCCUGGUAGCAAUGGUGGCGACAGGCGCGAUUCGAUUACCGAGGAGAUCACAAUAACGAGCACCACAAACAGCAGUCUAAGCACCAAACUCCUGACCAUUCAGGAAGCUGCCGGCAGCUUUGAGCAGAGCAGCGUCUCCAUAUCGACGUCCUCCAAACAGAUCGCUUCCACCGCAGCCGGCGCAUCGCCAUCAGCUGCUGCAGCUCCAGGUGCCAAUGAGUCCAACGGCAGCGUCCUCCGUUUAGUCCAGGCCACCUCUUCCACUAGUCCUGGCUCAAUCUCUAGUGUCGGCGCCACACCGAGCAUUAACAUUGUGUCCAGCGAUUCCCCGCGGGAUCAGCCACAACAGUCGCAGGGCGUCGACUCCAACGGCGUUGCUGCUCCAGGCGACAGUCCCAGCAGUCGCAAGAGCUCCACCAGCUCUAAGGGCAAGGCCAGCCAGGCAAAGCUAUCCACAUCCAGCAGCGGACGCGAUGAGCAGGACAUCUCGCAGCACCGGCUGAGCGAUCUCACCCAGCACGAGCUGAGCCUGCUGCGCGUCGACCGGGAGCAACAGGUGACCAGCAGCAGUUCCACCUCCAACGAGAAGCCGGCCAAGCCGUCGCGGCUCUCGGAGCGGGCCAAAAAGAAGUCCUGGUACAACGUCAUCUAUCCCAACUACAAGUCGCGCGCGGAGGACUUCAAGAAGCUCUUCAAGGACGUGCCCAACGACGAGCGCCUGAUUGUGGACUACUCGUGUGCCCUACAACGCGACAUUCUGGUCCAGGGCCGACUGUAUGUGUCGCAGAACUACGUCUGCUUCCACGCGAACAUCUUCAGCUGGGAGACGUACUUGAGCAUCAAGUGGAAGGAUGUGACGGCCAUUACCAAGGAGAAGACAGCACUGGUCAUACCGAAUGCCAUUUCGAUAUCCAGCGGCAAGGACAAGUACUUCUUUGCCACGUUCACCUCGCGCGACAAGAGCUUCUUGAUGCUCUUCCGCGUUUGGCAGAACACGCUGAUGAACAAGCAGUUUUCGCCACAGGAGAUUUGGAAACAUGUGCACACCUGCUACGGCGACGAGCUGGGCCUGACCACCGACGACGAGGACUACAUUGAUCCCACGCUGAACAACGACAACGAGCCGGACUUCGACUUCCAGACGGCCAUCGAUGACGAUAGCAACUCGCAGCGCCAGUCGCAACAGUCGAACCAAUCCAACCAGUCGAAUCCCCUGCUCCCCCAGAGCGGAAACAGCAGUGCCAGCAGCGGCGGCGGCGUCCGUGCCUCUGCCCCCCGCAAGUCGAAGACGAAAUAUUUCUUCAAUUCCUCCAAGUCAUCGGCCAACGCCUCGGCCAGCGGAUCGGAUAACAAUAAGACCAGGGAGAGCUCUCGCAAAUUGAACAAGAAGAUGAAACAGAAUGCCAAGGAGCUGACACUUAGCUCCGUGAAACCGGCGGAGCAGUCGGUGAGCGUCACCAUGAGCGCUCCCAGCGCCAGCAGCAGCAGCACAGCGGGCUCCACCACUGCCUCCUCCUCCACCAUUGCCAAUCACACGGGCUCUGGCUCCGGAUCGGGUUCUCUGUCGGGUUCAAAUACGGCGGCAGCCAGCGGCAGUGGCAGCGACAAAAUGAGUGCGGAGAAGAAGGUUAGUACGGUUUCUAACUCGGCCGCAGUGGCGGCUGCAACAGCAGCCCAAUCACAGGCCAGUGCCAGUUCCGGGUCAGGAUCAUUGGAGUCCAAGCUGGAGAUAAAGCGAAAGCUGGGAAAAAUGCAUCGCCAACGCGAGGAGGGCAAAAAUGCUGCCGAGAGUGUGCCCACAGAUGUAUCCGACUCGUCUGAUUCCGAGGAGAACAAUUUGCCAUUUGUGCCCACCACAGAGUGCACUUCGACGCACGAGGGCCGCCAGAUCGUGCACACCAUUCUGCCAAUUAACGUGGACACCUUGUUUAAUCUACUGUUCAGCAAGUCCAAAUUCAUAACUGACUUCCAUGCCAUGCGCAAGUCAACGGACCUCGUGUUGGGCGAGUGGACCAAGAACGAGGAGGGCCUGCAAGUGCGCACAGUGAACGUCACCGUUCAAUUGGCCGCCUCUGUGGGACCCAAGACCUCAAAGGUAACCGAGUACCAAACGCAGCGAGAGUGUAGCAAACCGGGCGAACUGUAUUCCAUAGACGUAAAUAGUGUUAAUGCAGGCAUUCCAUACGCGGACAGUUUCAGUGUGCUCAUACACUUCUGCCUGGCCAGAACUGUCGAUGAUCACACUAUGCUCUCAAUUCACACCCAGAUCAAGUACAAGAAGUCGAUCUGGGGCGUGGUCAAGGGCUUCAUUGAGAAGAACACGUGGGCGGGCCUGGAGGACUUCUUUGGCGCCCAAUUGCAUGCGCUCCAGAGCGAGACCUGCAUUCCACCUGCCAAGGGAAAGGGACGGAGGCCGAGGAGAGGCAUGAAUCAGCAAUCCGCCACAUCCACGUCGACCACCUCCAUCACGACAGGUGCCCUCCAUACAGCCACAAGUACGGACAAUGACAGCAUCCAAGAGUCGCGACAUUCCCAUCAGCAGGAACAGCAUCAGCACCAGCACAUGCACAUGCACCAUCAUCAUCACCAUCACCACGGUAGUCAGCAUCAUCAUCACGAACCCAGGCACUCCCACCAUCAUCAGCCUCUGCUUCCCCAUCAUCACCAGCAUCCUCAUCACUGGCAUCACCGUAAGGCUCUACUGCAGUCCAGCAGAGGUACCGCCACCCAAAUUCGCCCUCUGGAGGAGGCAGUUGGUCCGGCCCCAGCCGGUGAUCCCCUGGAGACCCAAAUGCUGUCCGCGGGUAGCAUUCCUGGGGCGGCAGUCGGCGCCGCCGCCGGUCAUCCGCUGCUGCUCGAGGGCGGCAAGCAGCAGCAGCUCCACCACCAGCAGCAAAUGCACCAUCACCACCUACAGCCGCACAAGCAGCACCUACAGCAGCAGCAGUUGCAUCUGGGCGGCGGCGACGGCCAGCCUCUGGCAACGGGUCAUGGGUCACAGGGUCACAGACUUAGACACAAGGGCUUGUGGUUGUUGGUUAUACUCUUGCUGUGCUUGAUGCUGGCAUUAAAUGUGAUAUUAUUACUUAAGCUCUGGAGGCUGGAGGAACGCAUUGACGUGGAUCUCAAUCGGCGGGCCCGCAUGCCCAGUUUGGCGGCCUUGAGUGAGCUGCCGAGCACGAAUCAGGAAUGGCUGGAACUGCUGCGCGACCAGGAGAUGGCGCACGAGAAUGAGUGGCACAAGUGGCAACAGGUGCUCCAAACUGCCAUCGAGCUGCUGAAAAAGCUCUCUCUUCUGGGCAAUAUCAAGAAAGCCAACCUGACUGAUAAGAGUUCAAGUUCAUUAAACCGCAUAAAAAUCAGGAACAAUUUGUGAAAUUCGGGGGCCUUUCAGCGGUUCUUCGAUGUAGGAAAGCAAGUUUCUACAUACUAUAUAUAUGGAUUUUAUAUUGGCGUCGGCCUCAACUCGAGAAAAGAAAUAAGAAAAAAGAAAAAGGAGCCAGACAAGCCAGGGAAUUAUGAAAUUUUAAAGAAAUCCCCAAAAACCCAAGUUCCAACAGCGGCAAAAUAUGUUUAAUGCAUUAAUAUAAACGAAACGUGUUUACGGCGGCGAGUGCAGGCAGAAGACGAACAAAAAGUUGUAUACGUAUAUACACAUAGAUAUAUUUAAACAAGAUUUACAUUUAAAAUCCCCCCCAAUACACACGAUCUUUUCAUAUUUGGCGAACAAAUUUUUG